This 77-nucleotide transfer RNA is filed under the name Cordylochernes scorpioides. RNAcentral describes it as "tRNA-Gly". The record is from RNAcentral. Lineage: Eukaryota; Metazoa; Arthropoda; Arachnida; Pseudoscorpiones; Chernetidae.
CUUGGUGCGACGGCCGGGAAUCGAACCCGGGUCAACUGCUUGGAAGGCAGCUAUGCUAACCAUUAUACCGCCUCGAA